This 689-nucleotide ribosomal RNA is filed under the name uncultured Microbacteriaceae bacterium. RNAcentral describes it as "bacterial SSU rRNA". It matches the Rfam family "Bacterial small subunit ribosomal RNA", at positions 95 to 798 of the family's 1533-position model. The record is from RNAcentral. Lineage: Bacteria; Bacillati; Actinomycetota; Actinomycetes; Micrococcales; Microbacteriaceae.
GUGGCGAACGGGUGAGUAACACGUGAGCAAUCUGCCCUUGACUCUGGGAUAACUGCGGGAAACUGUAGCUAAUACCGGAUACUUUCCUCGCUGGGCAUCCAGCGGGGAAGAAAGAAUUUCGGUCAAGGAUGAGCUCGCGGCCNAUCAGCUAGUUGGUGAGGUAAUGGCUCACCAAGGCGACGACGGGUAGUCGGCCUGAGAGGGUGACCGGCCACACUGGAACUGAGACACGGUCCAGACUCCUACGGGAGGCAGCAGUGGGGAAUAUUGCACAAUGGGCGAAAGCCUGAUGCAGCAACGCCGCGUGAGGGAUGAAGGCCUUCGGGUUGUAAACCUCUUUUAGCAGGGAAGAAGCGAAAGUGACGGUACCUGCAGAAAAAGCACCGGCUAACUACGUGCCAGCAGCCGCGGUAAUACGUAGGGUGCAAGCGUUGUCCGGAAUUAUUGGGCGUAAAGAGCUCGUAGGCGGUUUGUCACGUCUGCUGUGAAAAUCCGAGGCUCAACCUCGGACUUGCAGUGGGUACGGGCAGGCUAGAGUGCGGUAGGGGAGAAGGGAAUUCCUGGUGUAGCGGUGGAAUGCGCAGAUAUCAGGAGGAACACCAAUGGCGAAGGCACUUCUCUGGGCCGUAACUGACGCUGAGGAGCGAAAGCGUGGGGAGCGAACAGGAUUAGAUACCCUGGUAGUCCAC